GAGGCAGCCAUCCUUAACAUGUGCAGUCGAUCAUCCUCUUGGCUGCUGUAGGGUCCAUAACAUUGCAGCUUCACAGAUUGCUAUGAUGCUUUGUUCAUUCAUUGUGACUUGUGGCUUGAUACAUGAAUGUUACUUUCUGCUCAGUUACUUCCUGAAAUUACCUAGGCCAAUGAUGUCCAGAAGCCUUCAGGAGGGGAGGAUGGGGUUUCUCAGCUAAGCACUGCUUGCAUGCCAGAGCUAAGGGGAGAUGGAUUCCAGGAAGUAAAUGCUACACAAAUCAUCUGCCCUUACUCAAGAUGGCCAAGACUAGGACUGCUGGAGGGUGUUUUUGAAAUGUGUUCUCAGCAAAAUAAAGAAUCGAGACACGGAUGGAUUGAUGACUUUGCUUUAAAUAUAAAAAUUUAUUAAAUUGCA
Molecule: long non-coding RNA, 414 nt
Organism: Rana temporaria (common frog)
Lineage: Eukaryota; Metazoa; Chordata; Amphibia; Anura; Ranidae
Exons: 3
Source: RefSeq, a predicted model, not a curated record